UACGUAGGGGGCAAGCGUUGUCCGGAUUUAUUGGGCGUAAAGAGCGUGUAGGCGGCUUGGAAGGUCAGCUGUGAAAACUCGAGGCUCAACCUCGAGACGUCGGUUGAAACCACCUGGCUAGAGUCCGGAAGAGGAGAGUGGAAUUCCUGGUGUAGCGGUGAAAUGCGCAGAUAUCAGGAAGAACACCCGUGGCGAAGGCGGCUCUCUGGGACGGUACUGACGCUGAGACGCGAAAGCGUGGGGAGCGAACAGG
RNAcentral lists this ribosomal RNA (253 nucleotides) under uncultured bacterium. Its description in RNAcentral is "partial 16S ribosomal RNA". It matches the Rfam family "Bacterial small subunit ribosomal RNA", at positions 524 to 776 of the family's 1533-position model. The record is from RNAcentral.